RNAcentral lists this ribosomal RNA (497 nucleotides) under uncultured bacterium. RNAcentral describes it as "partial 16S ribosomal RNA". It matches the Rfam family "Bacterial small subunit ribosomal RNA", at positions 28 to 507 of the family's 1533-position model. The record is from RNAcentral.
GAUGAACGCUGGCGGCGUGCCUAAUACAUGCAAGUCGAGCGAACAGACGAGGAGCUUGCUCCUCUGACGUUAGCGGCGGACGGGUGAGUAACACGUGGAUAACCUACCUAUAAGACUGGGAUAACUUCGGGAAACCGGAGCUAAUACCGGAUAAUAUAUUGAACCGCAUGGUUCAAUAGUGAAAGACGGUUUUGCUGUCACUUAUAGAUGGAUCCGCGCCGCAUUAGCUAGUUGGUAAGGUAACGGCUUACCAAGGCAACGAUGCGUAGCCGACCUGAGAGGGUGGACGGCCACCCGGGAACAGAGGCAGGGUCCAGACUCCUACGGGAGGCAGCAGUAGGGAAUCUUCCGCAAUGGGCGAAAGCCUGACGGAGCAACGCCGCGGGAGUGAUGAAGGUCUUCGGAUCGUAAAACUCUGUUAUUAGGGAAGAACAAAUGUGUAAGUAACUAUGCACGUCUUGACGGUACCUAAUCAGAAAGCCACGGCUAACUACGUG